GGCUCUGGACAGAUGCUUCUGCUGCCUGAAGCUGAGGAGGCCGCUCUCCGCCUGGCUCUGCCGGCUCCAGCAGCAGCCCUCCCCUCGGGGGACACCUGCAGAGGCCACGGAGCUUGGGUCCUGAGGGCCAUCUGGUAAAGACAAGGCUCACCAGUGAGAGUCCUCAGCACCACCAUGCCCAUGCUAUUGCUACACAGCAGCUGCCAGCCUUUUCCUUGUUCUUUCAAUGCAAAAUCAGUCUCUUAAGAUGCCGUCAGAGAAACCACAAUUGACCCUUGCAGAAAUACUUUCCGACUAGCUCUUCUGAAGCCAGACCCCUUUGGAAACAAACAACUACUCUACUGCACUUUAGGGCACCACUGUUAUCUAACAGUCCUUGGAGUCAGGAGAUGCGGAGCAGGCUCUAUUAACCAAUCCAUGCCCUGGCAGAGGUCUGACAUCCACCAGACAUGCCUAAGUCCUGAUCCCUUCUACAAUGAAGAGUCCAUUCAAACCUCCAGCAAACUUGAGAAGAAGCACCUGACUAAAGACCCUCAGCCUCUGGGGGCAGCAGAGCUCCUUCCUCCUCCCCAGCUUUCCCUUUGGCUGUGGUGGCUGUGGACAUCAGACACAACGCUGUAUUUACGACCCAGGGGCUUACUUGUCUCCUUUGCUCCAUUUCUCUCCACUUGGUGGCCUGUAAGCUCUCAGUCUCUGCAUCUCCUCCUUCCAGUGAGGAGGAGUUUCACUGCUGUCAUCAUCUUCCGACUCAGAAUGGGAUCUUGACCUUGGAGGUGUGUGAUAGCGCUUCAACACAGAGAGGGCAGUGACUGUCUAAGAGAGCCUCUUGUAGGACAGAGUCAGGCAAAAGUUUAAUCUGGGCACCAACUUAAGUAUUAACUGGAUACUAUGGAGUUACUUCAAAUAUAAGACACUGAGAGGCGAGAAAGACAAGACAUUUACCUGGAAUCCUUUAAUGGCUCCCGUUGCAGUCCUAACACAUUCUGGCCUCCAGUACUCCAUAGACUAAGAUUUCUCAAUAUACCUUUUCAUGUAUUACAUCACUGAAUAAUUAAAUCUACCCACAGCUGUAAAUGUAUGCGAUGGGAGUGAGUACCUUCCCAAACUAUGGGAAAUAAAAAACAAUUCCUUAAAUAAGUAAAA
Molecule: non-coding RNA, 1143 nt
Organism: Cricetulus griseus (Chinese hamster)
Lineage: Eukaryota; Metazoa; Chordata; Mammalia; Rodentia; Cricetidae
Source: RefSeq, a predicted model, not a curated record